GUGCCAGCAGCCGCGGUAAUACGUAGGUGGCAAGCGUUGUCCGGAAUUACUGGGUGUAAAGGGAGCGCAGGCGGAACUGCAAGUUGGGUGUUUAAUCUACGGGCUCAACCCGUAUCAGCAUUCAAAACUGUGGUUCUUGAGUAAUGCAGAGGUAGGCGGAAUUCCCGGUGUAGCGGUGGAAUGCGUAGAUAUCGGGAGGAACACCAGUGGCGAAGGCGGCCUACUGGGCAUCAACUGACGCUGAGGCUCGAAAGCAUGGGUAGCAAACAGGAUUAGAUACCCUGGUAGUCCAUGCUGUAAACGAUGAUUACUAGGUGU
This 318-nucleotide ribosomal RNA is filed under the name uncultured Anaerofilum sp. RNAcentral's name for it is "bacterial SSU rRNA". It matches the Rfam family "Bacterial small subunit ribosomal RNA", at positions 505 to 823 of the family's 1533-position model. The record is from RNAcentral. Lineage: Bacteria; Bacillati; Bacillota; Clostridia; Eubacteriales; Oscillospiraceae.